Molecule: ribosomal RNA, 425 nt
Filed under: uncultured bacterium
Lineage: Bacteria
Description: partial 16S ribosomal RNA
Rfam family: Bacterial small subunit ribosomal RNA
Source: RNAcentral
GUGGGGAAUCUUGCGCAAUGGGCGAAAGCCUGACGCAGCCAUGCCGCGUGAAUGAUGAAGGUCUUAGGAUUGUAAAAUUCUUUCACCGGGGACGAUAAUGACGGUACCCGGAGAAGAAGCCCCGGCUAACUUCGUGCCAGCAGCCGCGGUAAUACGAAGGGGGCUAGCGUUGCUCGGAAUUACUGGGCGUAAAGGGCGCGUAGGCGGAUCGUUAAGUCAGGGGUGAAAUCCCAGAGCUCAACUCUGGAACUGCCCUUGAUACUGGCGAUCUUGAGUGUGAGAGAGGUAUGUGGAACUCCGAGUGUAGAGGUGAAAUUCGUAGAUAUUCGGAAGAACACCAGUGGCGAAGGCGACAUACUGGCUCAUUACUGACGCUGAGGCGCGAAAGCGUGGGGAGCAAACAGGAUUAGAAACCCUAGUAGUCC